AGUGAACGCUGGCGGUAGGCCUAACACAUGCAAGUCGAACGGCAGCACAGUAAGAGCUUGCUCUUACGGGUGGCGAGUGGCGGACGGGUGAGAAAUACAUCGGAAUCUACUUUUUCGUGGGGGAUAACGUGGGGAAACUUACGCUAAUACCGCAUACGACCUACGGGUGAAAGCAGGGGAUCUUCGGACCUUGCGCGAUUGAAUGAGCCGAUGCCGGAUUAGCUAGUUGGCGGGGUAAAGGCCCACCAAGGCGACGAUCCGUAGCUGGUCUGAGAGGAUGAUCAGCCACACUGGAACUGAGACACGGUCCAGACUCCUACGGGAGGCAGCAGUGGGGAAUAUUGGACAAUGGGCGCAAGCCUGAUCCAGCCAUACCGCGUGGGUGAAGAAGGCCUUCGGGUUGUAAAGCCCUUUUGUUGGGAAAGAAAAGCAGCAGGUUAAUACCCCGCUGUUCUGACGGUACCCAAAGAAUAAGCACCGGCUAACUUCGUG
Molecule: ribosomal RNA, 492 nt
Filed under: uncultured bacterium
Lineage: Bacteria
Description: partial 16S ribosomal RNA
Rfam family: Bacterial small subunit ribosomal RNA
Source: RNAcentral